CGGGACCAGACAAGUGAAUCCGAGGGUCUGUCUCUGUAUGUGUUAUCAUCAGACUGGUUCCCCACGACCCACCACUGCCUGCCAAGAUGAAUGUAAAUGAAGCAGAAGUCUCACAGGCUGGGCACAGUAGGAAGAAGCAUUCUCAUCAUGGCCACUUAGCUUGCUCGAGAUUACACAGAACCAUGCCUCUGGUUUCCUGGUACAGUGCUCCGGCAGGUGACGGAUGCUCCUGGGUGACAUAUCACGGAUCUCUCUGAGGUAAGACGUGCCUUUUGCCUUCCACCUUCUGCCGUGAUUGUGAGGACCCGCCAGCCACGUGGAACUAGCCCUAGAUUUGAAAAAAGAUGCUUCUGUGGUUCCAGGCAAGAUGGCUGACUAGGAACAGCUCCGGUCUGCAGCUCCCAGCGAGACCAACACAGAAGGCAGGCCGUCAUCCUUAAGCCAUAAAAUGCCCUGUAGAGGUGGAACAGGUCAGAAGACUGAAUGCUCAAGCUGCAUGUGGAGUUAACAUGGCAAUAACACAGAAUGUGAUGACAGCAGACUCUAGAAUCUCAUGACAUCAGUUUAUAUUAGAACUGUUCUGUAGCUCACCUUUCUCCGAAGUUGGAAUUCACAUGGCUGUGGAAUGUGUUUCUACCUUCACUGUUGGAGGAGUCAUCCAACAAAUCCAGGGGUGGGAAAACAGCUGGAUAAGGACAAUAACAUAUAUGACAGCUGUACAAUCCUUUACCUUGGACCAUCUCUCUCACCUUGGACCAUCUCUCUCACCAGCUGCCUUCCACACCCCUGUACUACUAACUCCUUCUUCUUUCACUUGAACAUUCUUUACCCCAGAUUUUUGCAUCCUUCAGUGAUACGGAAAAGCAAAUGUUAGAGACUUUGGCCUAAAGAUACAUUGAGAAGGGAAAAAAAGUUUAAUAAGUAGCAAAUGUCAUUGCCACCACAAAGGAAACAAGCAUCGUUCACCUUGGCAGUAAAGUAUGCCAUCUGACUGCUUGGGCCAUUUGCACAGAUUACGGGGAUAUGCUGUGGCACUAUUUAUCACUCCUCAGA
This is a long non-coding RNA of Homo sapiens (human), 1053 nucleotides long. Ensembl annotates it as RMDN2 antisense RNA 1. Its record names the gene RMDN2-AS1. Lineage: Eukaryota; Metazoa; Chordata; Mammalia; Primates; Hominidae. The record is from Ensembl.